AACACCGAUUGUGUAAUAAACGGUCAUUGGCCACUGCAUAUGUAACUCGAUGAUACAGCGGAUGAUUUAGUCGAUAAACUGGAUUGAACGCCGAGGACCGCACACGAUGCACGCUCGCACCUUCGAUCGAAAUUGCUUGGCUAAAAAUGGAAAAACUUAACAAGACGCCAUAUAGUACAAAAGAUAGAGUGUAUCAUAAACGACUUUGUAAAAAACGCAGCCAGCUGCAGCGGACUCCUCAAAUAAAACCUUCAACCGGCAAA
Wasmannia auropunctata (little fire ant) is the source of this 263-nucleotide long non-coding RNA. RefSeq lists it as uncharacterized. Lineage: Eukaryota; Metazoa; Arthropoda; Insecta; Hymenoptera; Formicidae. The transcript is spliced from 2 exons. The record is from RefSeq and is a predicted model, not a curated record.